CUCUAGUAAUGCCGGAAAUAAUACCUGUCCCACCCUCCUUGUAGUGGCUUUCAGAGGAGUCCAGCAAGGCCAUCAACAAGUAUUUCCUGAGAAGAUGCUGUGUGCCUGACCUUGAGAGAACUCGGUGGGAGUGUUCUCGGGAAAGGGCCAGUGGGAGCUGUCCUGUCCUCCCACGUUAAUUCCCCAGCUUUUCUCAUCCAGCAGCAGGAUGGUUAAGAGCACAGACUCCAGUAGCUCCCAGGGGCAGGAGCAGAGAUGAAACUAGAGUGUCCAGGAAUUGAUAAUUCCCGAAGCUGGGUGAUGGGUCGAUGGGCAUCGGGGGGUGGGGGGGGGUCCUUUAUUCUAUUCUACUGUUAAUAUGUUUGAAAUGAUUCCUAAUUAAAAAAAAAAAAAAUGUAACAAGACUACAGCCUGUGGAGCCACACUGCCUGGAUUUAAAUCCAAGACCUGCUGCUUACUGACUGUGUAGACCUGGGGAGAGUUACUUAACUCCUCUGUGUCCGUUUCCUCUUCAGUUAAACAGGGAUACUAAUGGUGAGCUGCCCCAGGGAGUGUUUGUGAAGAUUAGAUGAGUAAACGCGCAUAAGGCCCUUGGGUUAGUGCCUGUACGGCUGAGUUCUCAACACACAGUUACAAUGCCUUACAGAAACCAGGCACCAGAGAACGAUGUGUGACUGAGCUCAAGUCAUCAGGGACACCUUCACAGAACCACACAGUCAGCCUUGCAGUUCCCCUCGGUCAUACCUGCUGCUUGGCUUUGUCUCAAUUCGGGUUUCCUGCAAACUGCGGCAGGAUAUGAGUGCAAGUAGUUGUUUGGGGAGGAGACUUCGAGAAACACCAGCAAGAGAGUGAGGCAGUGAGAAUGGGAACAGAUGGCCUGUGAUGGCACCAGAGCGGGCAGCUGUGCACGAUCCCAUGGGUGGCCCUGGGAUCCAGCACAGAGCAGGCGCUCGGGGCUAUCCCACCCGAGGGGGCGCAGAGCCCGGGGCAGAGGCAGGUGCCAGCAAGCUGGUAGCCGUGAGAACAGAUGCUGAGGGGGUGUGGACGGGGCACGCAGAAUCCACCUGUGAGCUCUCUUAACGGCUCUUCUGACACCUGCUUAAAGCCUUGCCGUGACGGGGCUUCCCUUCAGAACGAACCUCACUCCAAGCUAGAUGGCCCUGACUUACCAUUAAAUGAGGGGUAAUAAGGACAAAAGCACUUCAGUAUUGGUUUUCAGUCACAGCAGCCCCUGGAAUAGGAAUGGUGGUGUGCCAUUAGGACUGCUGCCUCCCUGCUGCUUCAGGGGACACCUCUCUUCUCAGUCCUAGCACUUUUUUGUUGUUUGUUUAUUUUUGAGAGACAGAGAGAGCAUGAGCAGGGGAGGGGCAGAGAGAGAGGGAGACAAAGAAUCCGAAGCAGGCUCCAGGCUCUGAGCUGUCAGCACAGAGCCCGACACGGGGCUUGAACUCACGGACUGUGUGACCAUGACCGGAGCCGAAGUCGGACACUUAACCGACUGAGCCACCCAGGCGCCCCUCAGUCCUGGCAUUUUUAUGCUGAGCCAGAAUAUAGCCUCAGAGCCUUUCUUAAUAUAGCUUUAGGUAUCCAUUACAACCCAUUAGCUUAGGCACUUCAGUGAAGCCUGUUUUCCAUCCCUGCCCUAGUGCUUAUGAAGCUGGGGGAACCCCCAGGGUGGAAGACGCCGUGUUGCUGUAUGAUUCUGGGCAAGAACACAUUUAACUUCUCUGGCCCUCCCCCAUCCCCCUCUGGACGGAUCGAAGGGCCUGAGAGCAGUGAGGCAGAGGUGGAGUUUGUUCGGUACAGUAGGAAGAGCCUGCUCUUUGACAGUCAGGCUGGGUUGUAGACCUUGGCUUCAUCAUUUAUGAACUGUGUUCCUUGGGCAGGCUCCAUUUCCCGCUCUGAGCUUCGUGGUAUCGUCUGUAAAAUGGGGUCGUAAUACCCCAUCUGUGGUGUUAUUGUAGGUGUCAGAGAUUACGUGUAUGAAGCAGGGAGCUCCACGUGUGGGCAGGGGCUCAGUAAUUGUCCCUUAGAAUUGUCAUCAUCAUGACCAUCAUCAUCUUCAUCCAAAUCCUCUUCCAGCUCUCCAAUUCUGUGACUUCAGGGAACGUGCUCAUCCAAGAAGACAGUGUGGUAAGAGAAGGCAACGGCCCUGAUUUUGUGUAAAUGCAUUUCCUGGUAAGGACAGGAGGCACAUAAUUGCCCCUAAAUAAUUGCUCCGACUUUACCACAAGCUGUCAAAAGGCCCUAAUUGGUCGAUCUGUAAUGACUGCGGCCAUCUGCGUGCGGGGUGAUUUAGCGACGGGGCUCUGCCCGAGCCGGGCCCUCGAUGAUUAGAGCCAGCCGGGGUGAUAUUUCACCCUCUGAUGGGAGUAGUGGUGUGUGGGUGAAGGAAAUUAUCUCAUCCUUGUUUUAAUGACCUACCAGUUGAACCCAGCCAAGAGGCAGCGGUGGUCACAGACAAUGACUAUGGAUUUUUCUUUCUUUUUUUUUUUUAAAGAUAGUGUUCCUGCCCGAACAGCAGCAUAUCUGGAGCAUGAUCAUGCCUCUUGCUAUCUUGUUUCACUGCCCAAGAAAGUCUCUUUUGGAAAGAUUUAGUCCCUCAAUUAGGGCAAAUUGAUUUCUGCUUUCUACAGAGUCACUGUUCCAAAGAGAAGUGGUAAAGGGCAGGAGGCGCCAUAUUAAUCUUGGCAGGCAAGCAGGAAGGCGGCCCGGAGUAUUUUUCAGCCUUCCAGCCUCGGCUUGUACAUGUGGAGAUCAUCUUUUCUCUGUAUGUCUUUUAAUUGCUCCGACCUCCAAGAUGCCAGGGGAUACAACACAAAACACACUUCAGGUCGUGGAAGUUUCUGGAGACUUCCAUCGAGCCACUGGAGCAGUGUCCUGUGCAGAAGUGGUUUUAAGUGGCUCCUGAGAUGAUCUCAGUUGGUUCAGAGACUUUGCAUUAGGCCGCAUUGAAUCAUGUGGAGAGUUUUUCUCUUUCUAACUCCUGUCGUGUCUUCUGGUUACCUCGGAUGGAGAGCCUCGGUUGGUUUCCCGUGUCUCCCUUCUUGACAGAGAAGCAGACCGUGAGCUCCCAGUGUGGGAGGGAGGGGCAGGAAGAUCUGCCUAAAAUUGAGUCACAUUGUUUUAUUUUUAUUUGUUUCGGUUUUUCAUUAACUCUUGAUUCCAUUUGGUAUCAAUUUUCCAUUUAUGAUGUUUAUUUCCCUUUAAAGUAAACGUAAUUCAGUAAUUUUUUUUUUUAAUUUAAAAAGGUGAGUUGAUUUAAAAAAAACAGAUUAGAGUGGGAUAGUAGAACUGG
Leopardus geoffroyi (Geoffroy's cat) is the source of this 3298-nucleotide long non-coding RNA. RefSeq lists it as uncharacterized. NCBI's taxonomy places the organism in Eukaryota, Metazoa, Chordata, Mammalia, Carnivora, Felidae. The record is from RefSeq and is a predicted model, not a curated record. The transcript has 2 exons.